RNAcentral lists this ribosomal RNA (633 nucleotides) under Microbacterium sp. RNAcentral's name for it is "bacterial SSU rRNA". It matches the Rfam family "Bacterial small subunit ribosomal RNA", at positions 173 to 822 of the family's 1533-position model. The record is from RNAcentral. Lineage: Bacteria; Bacillati; Actinomycetota; Actinomycetes; Micrococcales; Microbacteriaceae.
UGUGACGUGACCGCAUGGUCUGCGUUUGGAAAGAUUUUUCGGUUGGGGAUGGGCUCGCGGCCUAUCAGCUUGUUGGUGAGGUAAUGGCUCACCAAGGCGUCGACGGGUAGCCGGCCUGAGAGGGUGACCGGCCACACUGGGACUGAGACACGGCCCAGACUCCUACGGGAGGCAGCAGUGGGGAAUAUUGCACAAUGGGCGAAAGCCUGAUGCAGCAACGCCGCGUGAGGGAUGACGGCCUUCGGGUUGUAAACCUCUUUUAGCAGGGAAGAAGCGAAAGUGACGGUACCUGCAGAAAAAGCGCCGGCUAACUACGUGCCAGCAGCCGCGGUAAUACGUAGGGCGCAAGCGUUAUCCGGAAUUAUUGGGCGUAAAGAGCUCGUAGGCGGUUUGUCGCGUCUGCUGUGAAAUCCCGAGGCUCAACCUCGGGCCUGCAGUGGGUACGGGCAGACUAGAGUGCGGUAGGGGAGAUUGGAAUUCCUGGUGUAGCGGUGGAAUGCGCAGAUAUCAGGAGGAACACCGAUGGCGAAGGCAGAUCUCUGGGCCGUAACUGACGCUGAGGAGCGAAAGGGUGGGGAGCAAACAGGCUUAGAUACCCUGGUAGUCCACCCCGUAAACGUUGGGAACUAGUUG